UACGGAAGGCAGCAGUGGGGAAUAUUGCACAAUGGGCGAAAGCCUGAUGCAGCUAUGCCGCGUGUAUGAAGAAGGCCUUAGGGUUGUAAAGUACUUUCAUCGGGGAGGAAAAACAAAACUAAUAAUUUUAUUUCUUGACGUUACCCGAAAAAGAAGCACCGGCUAACUCCGUGCCAGCAGCCGCGGUAAUACGGAGGGUGCUAGCGUUAAUCAGAAUUACUGGGCGUAAAGAGCACGUAGGUGGGUUUUUUAAGUCAGAUGUGAAAUCCCUGGGCUUAACCUGGAACUGCAUUUUGAAACUGAAAUACUAGAGUAUCGUAGAGGGAGGUAGAAUUCUAGGUGUAGCGGUGAAAUGCGUAGAUAUCUGGAGGAAUACCUGUGGCGAAAGCGGCCUCCUAAACGAAUACUGACACUGAGGUGCGAAAGCGUGGGGAGCAAACAGGGAUUAGAUACC
RNAcentral lists this ribosomal RNA (454 nucleotides) under uncultured bacterium. RNAcentral's name for it is "bacterial SSU rRNA". It matches the Rfam family "Bacterial small subunit ribosomal RNA", at positions 340 to 786 of the family's 1533-position model. The record is from RNAcentral.